Mauremys mutica (yellowpond turtle) is the source of this 672-nucleotide long non-coding RNA. RefSeq lists it as uncharacterized. Lineage: Eukaryota; Metazoa; Chordata; Testudines; Geoemydidae. The record is from RefSeq and is a predicted model, not a curated record. The transcript is spliced from 3 exons.
CGUCAUAUUUCUGCGCGGACGGCACGGCCAUUGGGGGUCAUGAGGGGGCAAAAAGGACGCGUUUCGUAUUUUCACAUGCCCCGUGGAGACAGAAAUGCCAGGUUCCCCUGAGAUGAGCGCGCGCACUGAGCAGCCAUUGGCCGAAGGUCAUGGAAUAGGCAGAAUAGCGCUCCCGAGGAGCCGCCAUAAUGGGACGGUCAGGGAUGGGGAAAAUACAGCGCUGCACAACCGCCAUUACAAGAAGGUCAGAGGCAAUCGGUGGCAGUUGAAGGCAGGUACUGAGAUGUGGGUGGAGGCGUGCCCCAGUGCGGGCUAAACCGCCACUGAACAAGGAGAGGGCCUCCCUCGGCUUCUCGACAUACCUAAUUGGGCUGGCGGCACCGCCAUUUGGAGAAGUUCCUAUUAACUUUGGGUAGAUGAGAGAAAGGCCAGCCUUCUGGCAGAGACCAAAAGGAGCUGCCACCCUGAGACCAUCCAGGGAAAUGAAAACCAGACAGUUACCUGUGGAGUAAGAGCAAAUAGAAGUUUGCUGAGUAUUGAGGGAGGACUGCAAAGACUCUUGUCAGCAUGAGAUUCUGUUGCAGGGUGUUGUCUCCACCACCUUCUGCCCCCAGCAGCUGACUACGGAGUGAUGAGAGGGACAGCAGCUCCAGCUGUGGAAGAACGGGCAGG